RNAcentral lists this microRNA precursor (103 nucleotides) under Marmota monax (woodchuck). The record is from RNAcentral. Lineage: Eukaryota; Metazoa; Chordata; Mammalia; Rodentia; Sciuridae.
AGUGGGAUAGCUGGGUCAAAUUGUGGUGCCAUUCCAAGUUUUCCAAGGAAUCUCCAUAUUGCUUUCCAUAUUGGCUGCACCAAUUUGCAGUCCCACCAGCAUU